Theobroma cacao (cacao) is the source of this 714-nucleotide non-coding RNA. NCBI's taxonomy places the organism in Eukaryota, Viridiplantae, Streptophyta, Magnoliopsida, Malvales, Malvaceae. The record is from RefSeq and is a predicted model, not a curated record.
AUGAUGAUAGGGGCUGGCAAGGAGUAAAAAGAGAAAGAAAGAUUGAGUGAAAGGAGGGAGAUAAAGACAAAAGUUGUCAUGUUCGUUCUUUUCUCCCUUCCACGUGAAAGUCAUUUUUUUUUCUUCCUUCUUAACCAGCAGCAUAUGGAGAGAAAUAAAAAGGGAGAGAAGGCCUGCCAAAAACGAGAGAAGCAAAGAAAGAAAGGAGGAAGGAAAAAGAGAGAAAGAGAGAGCUGGGAGAGAGAGAUUUUGUGCUGCCACUUAGAGGAGUCAAAAGAGGAAAGUUUGCUGCAAAUUUUAAGGGAAAAGAAAGCUAAGUUACUGCUGUAUUUUGAGGAAAGAAAAGAGAGAAAGCUGAGUAUUGGAGUGUUGCUAGCGGUGAGAGAAAGAGAGGAAGAAAGUGCAGCCGAUUAGUGCGUGAAAGGAGGGAGAAAAAAGGAAGAGAAAAAAAAAGUAGAAGAGAAAGGAAAAAACGAGAAAGAAAGACAAGGAUCGACUUAACGAAUAAUCAUCAACGCGUUCGGUCUACCGCAAAUAGGUAAAGGCAUCUCAUGGCCUUUUAUUCCGAGUCACUCUGCUGUUAGAGAUUGAGUUAUGGUACUUUGGUUUUACUAUGUAAACAAAUAUUAGUUUUGAUAAAACAUAAAUUUUAAAUUAUUGAACUCAAUGUAUUUAAUUGUGAUAUCAUGACUUAAAGUCAAAAUUUAAUGGCUA